CCCUUUUGGGAUGGAGCCGUCUAAGGUGAGGCUCGUGAUUGGGACUAAGUCGUAACAAGGUAGCCGUACCGGAAGGUGCGGCUGGAUCACCUCCUUUCUACGGAG
This 105-nucleotide ribosomal RNA is filed under the name Gardnerella vaginalis. RNAcentral describes it as "partial 16S ribosomal RNA". It matches the Rfam family "Bacterial small subunit ribosomal RNA", at positions 1439 to 1533 of the family's 1533-position model. The record is from RNAcentral. Lineage: Bacteria; Bacillati; Actinomycetota; Actinomycetes; Bifidobacteriales; Bifidobacteriaceae.